This 833-nucleotide ribosomal RNA is filed under the name uncultured bacterium. Its description in RNAcentral is "bacterial SSU rRNA". It matches the Rfam family "Bacterial small subunit ribosomal RNA", at positions 72 to 916 of the family's 1533-position model. The record is from RNAcentral.
AUUUCUUCGGAUUGAAGUUUUGAUGACUUAGCGGCGGACGGGUGAGUAACGCGUGGGUGACCUGCCUCAUACAGGGGGAUAACAGACAGAAAUGUCUGCUAAUACCGCAUAAGCGCACAGUGCUGCAUGGCACAGUGUGAAAAACUCCGGUGGUAUGAGAUGGACCCGCGUCUGAUUAGCUAGUUGGUAAGGUAACGGCUUACCAAGGCGACGAUCAGUAGCCGGCCUGAGAGGGUGAACGGCCACAUUGGGACUGAGACACGGCCCAAACUCCUACGGGAGGCAGCAGUGGGGAAUAUUGCACAAUGGGGGAAACCCUGAUGCAGCGACGCCGCGUGAAGGAAGAAGUAUUUCGGUAUGUAAACUUCUAUCAGCAGGGAAGAAAAUGACGGUACCUGACUAAGAAGCCCCGGCUAACUACGUGCCAGCAGCCGCGGUAAUACGUAGGGGGCAAGCGUUAUCCGGAUUUACUGGGUGUAAAGGGCGCGCAGGCGGGCUUGCAAGUUGGGAGUGAAAUCCCGGGGCUCAACCCCGGAACUGCUUUCAAAACUGUGAGUCUUGAGUGAUGGAGAGGCAGGCGGAAUUCCCAGUGUAGCGGUGAAAUGCGUAGAUAUUGGGAGGAACACCAGUGGCGAAGGCGGCCUGCUGGACAUUAACUGACGCUGAGGCGCGAAAGCGUGGGGAGCAAACAGGAUUAGAUACCCUGGUAGUCCACGCCGUAAACGAUGGAUACUAGGUGUGGGGGGUAUUGACCCCCUCCGUGCCGCAGUUAACACAAUAAGUAUCCCACCUGGGGAGUACGGCCGCAAGGUGAAACUCAAAGGAAUUGACGG